Molecule: unclassified non-coding RNA, 221 nt
Filed under: Hevea brasiliensis (rubber tree)
Lineage: Eukaryota; Viridiplantae; Streptophyta; Magnoliopsida; Malpighiales; Euphorbiaceae
Source: RNAcentral
CGUGUUGGGGCCUUGGCCUGGAGUUCAUCUGUGUUGUCUUCUGGUAGCCGGGAUAAGAGUAUUCUUCAACGAGAUAUACGUGCUCAGGAAGACUUCGUUAGCAAACUCUCCGGGCACAAGUCAGAGGUCUGUGGAUUAAAGUGGUCUUAUGAUAAUCGUGAGUUGGCAUCUGGUGGGAAUGAUAACAGACUUUUUGUUUGGAAUCAACGUUCAACUCAACC